GAUGAACGCUGGCGGCGUGCCUAAUACAUGCAAGUCGAGCGAACAGACGAGGAGCUUGCUCCUCUGACGUUAGCGGCGGACGGGUGAGUAACACGUGGAUAACCUACCUAUAAGACUGGGAUAACUUCGGGAAACCGGAGCUAAUACCGGAUAAUAUAUUGAACCGCAUGGUUCAAUAGUGAAAUACGGUUUUUCUUUCACUUAAAGCUGGACCCGCGCCGCAUUAGCUAGUUGGUAAGGUAACGGCUUAACAACGCAACGACGCGUAAACGACCUGAAAGGGUGAUCCGACAGACUGGAACUGAGAAACGGUCGAGACUCCUACGGUAGGCAGCAGUAGGGAAUCUUACGCGAUGGACGAGAGCCUGACAGAGCAAAGCCGCGUGAGUGAUGAAGGUCUACGGAUCGUAAAACUCUGUUAUUAGGGAAGAACAAAUGUGUAAGUAACUGUGCUCGUCUUGACGGUACCGAAUCAGAAAGCCACGGCUAACUACGUG
RNAcentral lists this ribosomal RNA (497 nucleotides) under uncultured bacterium. RNAcentral's name for it is "partial 16S ribosomal RNA". It matches the Rfam family "Bacterial small subunit ribosomal RNA", at positions 28 to 507 of the family's 1533-position model. The record is from RNAcentral.